GAUGAACGCUGGCGGCGUGCCUAAUACAUGCAAGUCGAACGAAACUUCUUUAUCACCGAGUGCUUGCACUCACCGAUAAAGAGUUGAGUGGCGAACGGGUGAGUAACACGUGGGCAACCUGCCCAAAAGAGGGGGAUAACACUUGGAAACAGGUGCUAAUACCGCAUAACCAUAGUUACCGCAUGGUAACUAUGUAAAAGGUGGCUAUACUACCGCCUUUGGAUGGGCCCGCGGCGCAUUAGCUAGUUGGUAGGGUAAAGGCUUACCAAGGCAAUGAUGCGUAGCCGAAUUGAGAGGUUGAUCGGCCACAUUGGGACUGAGACACGGCCCAAACUCCUACGGGAGGCAGCAGUAGGGAAUCUUCCACAAUGGGCGAAAGCCUGAUGGAGCAACGCCGCGUGGGUGAAGAAGGUCUUCGGAUCGUAAAACCCUGUUGUUAGAGAAGAAAGUGCGUGAGAGUAACUGUUCACGUCUCGACGGUAUCUAACCAGAAAGCCACGGCUAACUACGUG
Molecule: ribosomal RNA, 512 nt
Filed under: uncultured bacterium
Lineage: Bacteria
Description: partial 16S ribosomal RNA
Rfam family: Bacterial small subunit ribosomal RNA
Source: RNAcentral